AUUGAACGCUGGCGGCAUGCUUUACACAUGCAAGUCGAACGGUAACAGGCCUUCGGGUGCUGACGAGUGGCGAACGGGUGAGUAAUGCAUCGGAACGUACCCAGAGGUGGGGGAUAACGCAGCGAAAGCUGUGCUAAUACCGCAUGUGAUCUGAGGAUGAAAGCGGGGGACCGAGCAGCAAUGUUUGGCCUCUCGCCUUUGGAGCGGCCGAUGUCGGAUUAGCUAGUUGGUGGGGUAAAGGCCUACCAAGGCGACGAUCCGUAGCUGGUCUGAGAGGACGACCAGCCACACUGGGACUGAGACACGGCCCAGACUCCUACGGGAGGCAGCAGUGGGGAAUUUUGGACAAUGGGCGCAAGCCUGAUCCAGCAAUGCCGCGUGCGGGAAGAAGGCCUUCGGGUUGUAAACCGCUUUUGGCAGGAACGAAACGGUGUCCGCUAAUACCGGGCGCUAAUGACGGUACCUGCAGAAUAAGCACCGGCUAACUACGUG
RNAcentral lists this ribosomal RNA (492 nucleotides) under uncultured bacterium. RNAcentral describes it as "partial 16S ribosomal RNA". It matches the Rfam family "Bacterial small subunit ribosomal RNA", at positions 30 to 507 of the family's 1533-position model. The record is from RNAcentral.